UACCACUGAAAAACAACGGUGGCUUAGUAAUUCCAUCACAUGGCACAGUGAAGGUGCUAAGAGCUGCAGAAAGGGUCAUUCGCCAGGCUUCAACAAAGCAAGCUCCAAAGGUGUCAACAGUCACACACACAGUCCGGGAAGAGGCUGGAACGGACAGCGUUUUUCUGCUUGGGCAGCACAUAGAGGAGACACAGUUUGGUAUUGACAACCAUCAUUCCAGCUUGUUGUCAUUGGUUGUGUCUGUGUUUCUCAACAUAAGGCUCCACCACGGUGCCAAACUGACCACCCUUAAACUGCAAAAAGGUAGCACAAGGAAAAAAAUGAGCAAAACAGUCCUCUUUCAGGGGUUUUAGCUCUAAAACCUCUGUGUGAUACUUUGUACAUUUGUAAAUAUGGUUUGAGAUGAGGAUGAUGUGUUCAUGUUAACUUGAGAAUAUACAUGUACAUUACAUUUUAUUCUCUAUGUGCUUUGUUCAGCCUUAAAGGCUUCUCUUUUUCUCUGUGUAGUAAAUCAGUUCUCUGCAUGACUGUCGUAUACAUUUUCCAUUUCUCUGGUAUAGAUCUUUAAUCUACAUUUGUAUGAAUGAUAUUGAUUCGCUGUAUAUGAUUUGUAUGUUUUCCGUUUUUCUAAUCAUACAUCUUACAUCCUAUGUACAUAUAUGAUUGAUAUUGA
Molecule: long non-coding RNA, 673 nt
Organism: Melanotaenia boesemani (Boeseman's rainbowfish)
Lineage: Eukaryota; Metazoa; Chordata; Actinopteri; Atheriniformes; Melanotaeniidae
Exons: 2
Source: RefSeq, a predicted model, not a curated record